CCUACGGGAGGCACCAGUGGGGAAUUUUCCGCAAUGGGCGAAAGCCUGACGGAGCAACGCCGCGUGAGGGAUGAAGGCCUCUGGGCUGUAAACCUCUUUUCUCAAGGAAGAAGAUCUGACGGUACUUGAGGAAUAAGCCACGGCUAAUUCCGUGCCAGCAGCCGCGGUAAUACGGGAGUGGCAAGCGUUAUCCGGAAUUAUUGGGCGUAAAGCGUCCGCAGGCGGUCCAGAAAGUCUGCUGUUAAAAAGUGGAGCUUAACUCCAUCAUGGCAGUGGAAACUACUGGACUAGAGUGUGGUAGGGGCAGAGGGAAUUCCCGGUGUAGCGGUGAAAUGCGUAGAUAUCGGGAAGAACACCAGUGGCGAAGGCGCUCUGCUGGGCCAUAACUGACGCUCAUGGACGAAAGCCAGGAGAGCGAAAGGGAUUAGAUACCCCAGUAGUC
This 442-nucleotide ribosomal RNA is filed under the name uncultured bacterium. Its description in RNAcentral is "bacterial SSU rRNA". It matches the Rfam family "Bacterial small subunit ribosomal RNA", at positions 338 to 795 of the family's 1533-position model. The record is from RNAcentral.